GGCCGUAAACCCAAGGUUUCCAGGGGAAGGUUCGUCCGCCCUGGGUUAGUCGGGACCUAAGCUGAGGCCGAAAGGCGUAGGUGAUGGACAACAGGUUGAUAUUCCUGUACUACCGAUAACCGUUUGAGAGAUGGGAUGACACAGUAGGAUAAGCUAAGCACACUGUUGGUUAUGUGUGCCCAAGCAUUGAGGCAGUCAAAGUAGGUAAAUCCGCUUUGAUAAUGCUGGGAUGUGAUGGGGAGCGAAAUUUAGUAGCGAAGUAGCUGAUUUCACACUGUCAAGAAAAGUCUCUAUCGAGGUUAAAGG
This 306-nucleotide ribosomal RNA is filed under the name Clostridioides difficile. RNAcentral describes it as "partial 23S ribosomal RNA". It matches the Rfam family "Bacterial large subunit ribosomal RNA", at positions 1336 to 1638 of the family's 2925-position model. The record is from RNAcentral. Lineage: Bacteria; Bacillati; Bacillota; Clostridia; Peptostreptococcales; Peptostreptococcaceae.